RNAcentral lists this transfer RNA (77 nucleotides) under Fusobacteriaceae bacterium. RNAcentral describes it as "tRNA-Ile". It matches the Rfam family "tRNA". From Rfam's summary of the family: Transfer RNA (tRNA) molecules are approximately 80 nucleotides in length. Lineage: Bacteria; Fusobacteriati; Fusobacteriota; Fusobacteriia; Fusobacteriales; Fusobacteriaceae. The record is from RNAcentral.
GGAUCCAUAGCUCAGUUGGUUAGAGCACUCGGCUCAUAACCGAGUGGUGGUUGGUUCGAUUCCAACUGGAUCCACCA